GUGGCCGUAGCUCAAGUGGUUAGAGCGCCAGGUUGUGGUCCUGGAGGCUGGGGGUUCAAGUCCCCUCGGUCACC
Molecule: transfer RNA, 74 nt
Filed under: Actinomycetota bacterium
Lineage: Bacteria; Bacillati; Actinomycetota
Also listed under: 1 other name
Description: tRNA-His
Rfam family: tRNA
About the family: Transfer RNA (tRNA) molecules are approximately 80 nucleotides in length.
Source: RNAcentral